AGAGUUUGAUCCUGGCUCAGAUUGAACGCUGGCGGAAUGCCUAACACAUGCAAGUCGGGCGGGGUAGCAAUAUCCAGCGGCGGACGGGUGAGGAAUACAUAGGAAUCUGCCUUUAGGUGGGGGAUAGCUUGGGGAAACUCAAGGUAAUACCGCAUGAUCUCGCAAGAGCAAAGUGGGGGACCGCAAGGCCUCACGCCUUUAGAGGAGCCUAUGUCUGAUUAGCUAGUUGGUGAGGUAAUGGCUCACCAAGGCGACGAUCAGUAACUGGUCUGAGAGGGUGAUCGGCCACACUGGAACUGAGACACGGUCCAGACUCCUACGGGAGGCAGCAGUGGGGAAUUUUGCGCAAUGGGCGAAAGCCUGACGCAGCAACGCCGCGUGGGUGAUGAAGGUCUUCGGAUCGUAAAACCCUGUCGUCAGGGACGAAGGUUUGGGGGUUAAUAACCCUUAAGCUUGACGGUACCUGGAGAGGAAGCCCCGGCUAACUCUGUGCCAGCAGCCGCGGUAAUACAGAGGGGGCAAGCGUUAUUCGGAAUUAUUGGGCGUAAAGGGCGCGUAGGCGGUUUUUUAAGUCAGAUGUGUAAUCCCCGAGCUCAACUUGGGAACUGCAUCUGAGACUGGAAGGCUAGAGUACUGGAGAGGGUGGUGGAAUUCCUCGUGUAGCGGUGAAAUGCGUAGAGAUGAGGAGGAACACCAGUGGCGAAGGCGGCCACCUGGACAGUAACUGACGCUGAGGCGCGAAAGUGUGGGUAGCAAACAGGAUUAGAUACCCUGGUAGUCC
Molecule: ribosomal RNA, 781 nt
Filed under: uncultured bacterium
Lineage: Bacteria
Description: bacterial SSU rRNA
Rfam family: Bacterial small subunit ribosomal RNA
Source: RNAcentral